GUCUAUGGCUGUUAUCACCCUGAAUGCACUGCAAUCUCAUCUGAUCCCUCAGGGGUUAAGCAGGUUCAGGCUAGGUCAGUACUUGGAUGGGAAACCACCUGGAAAUACCAGGUACUUACUGUAUACU
RNAcentral lists this ribosomal RNA (127 nucleotides) under Castor canadensis (American beaver). Lineage: Eukaryota; Metazoa; Chordata; Mammalia; Rodentia; Castoridae. The record is from RNAcentral.